CCUAACACAUGCAAGUCGAACGGUAACAGGAAGAAGCUUGCUUCUUUGCUGACGAGUGGCGGACGGGUGAGUAAUGUCUGGGAAACUGCCUGAUGGAGGGGGAUAACUACUGGAAACGGUAGCUAAUACCGCAUAACGUCGCAAGACCAAAGAGGGGGACCUUCGGGCCUCUUGCCAUCGGAUGUGCCCAGAUGGGAUUAGCUAGUAGGUGGGGUAACGGCUCACCUAGGCGACGAUCCCUAGCUGGUCUGAGAGGAUGACCAGCCACACUGGAACUGAGACACGGUCCAGACUCCUACGGGAGGCAGCAGUGGGGAAUAUUGCACAAUGGGCGCAAGCCUGAUGCAGCCAUGCCGCGUGUAUGAAGAAGGCUUUCGGGUUGUAAAGUACUUUCAGCGGGGAGGAAGGGAAUAAAGUUAAUACCUUUGCUCAUUGACGUUACCCG
RNAcentral lists this ribosomal RNA (445 nucleotides) under uncultured bacterium. RNAcentral's name for it is "bacterial SSU rRNA". It matches the Rfam family "Bacterial small subunit ribosomal RNA", at positions 47 to 481 of the family's 1533-position model. The record is from RNAcentral.